Dromiciops gliroides (monito del monte) is the source of this 778-nucleotide long non-coding RNA. RefSeq lists it as uncharacterized. The transcript has 3 exons. NCBI's taxonomy places the organism in Eukaryota, Metazoa, Chordata, Mammalia, Microbiotheria, Microbiotheriidae. The record is from RefSeq and is a predicted model, not a curated record.
CUUCCUCCUCUCUCUCUGUCUCUCCACCCUUCCUUCCCCUUCCUCCCUUCUCAUCCUCUCCUCUGACUCCUUCCCUUUUCAUUCCCCCCUGUACCUUAUCCCAGAGUACAGCAAAUGGCCUUGAGUGCACACCAUGGAAAGCAGGAAGCAAAUCUGCAACACAACUCAACUCUGCCCCUCCCCCCCCAUGUCUACCACCACCUUAUCCAGUGGAAAGAAAGAAGCUGUGUCUCUCCAGGAGGCAAAACCAGCAGCUGUGAAUAGAUCAUCUCAGAGGGAAGGCACCAAUAUCGAGGACUGAGGAAGGCUUCUCCUAGAAGGCACUCUAUGUUCUAAAAAGACUUCCUUGAUCUUCUGGCUAGAAGAGAUUCUAUCUCCCACCUCCCUGGAACAUUCUUCCUUCUCUUCCUGGCUUCUUGGAAUUCUGCUGACCCUUCAAAGUUCAGCUCAUCAACCAGCUCAUACAAGGGGCUUCUCAACCUACUCCCCCUUCCAUUUGUUAACAGUAACUCCCUCUCUACCAAUCAGAUGGUAUUUGGAGGGGAUCAUAAAUUACAGAUGCAAAGCUACAAGAGACCUCAGAGGUGACCAAGUGCAACCUCUUCAUCUUAUGGACGAAGAAGCUGAUGCCCAGAGAGGCUGGUCACUUUGCUCAAGGACACCACGAUUAGUGGUAGAGCCAGUAUUUAAUCCCAGGUCCUCUGUCUACAAAUCAAACAUUCUUCUUUUUUUUUUUUUUAAUUUUUAAGUUUAAAUUUUAAUUAAUUAAUUUAUUUUU